Molecule: long non-coding RNA, 443 nt
Organism: Oryzias melastigma (Indian medaka)
Lineage: Eukaryota; Metazoa; Chordata; Actinopteri; Beloniformes; Adrianichthyidae
Exons: 2
Source: RefSeq, a predicted model, not a curated record
UAAAGCCCUUUGUUUGGGCAGUUAUGGAGCAGUGAAGCGGCGCAGCUGUUCGCUCCCACAUGACGUGAACCUCAACCGGCAACAAUGCAUCGCUGGUACCGCGGAGGAGCAGAACUAUGACGGCACGAGACACAUUCACUCACCAUCCGGCGGCUGAGGUGUUUCUCUUCUUCGGACAAACUUCGCACAGACACGUUAACGCCGGGCAUAAUAGCCCCCCCUCCCGCGAGUCGCCAGAGAGGAGCAAACGGGAUAUGAUUUUCAGAGAGUAAAGAUCCCUCCAGUUCCACUACGGGGCCCGACUGGUCUCCUGACAUCAGCUGCAUCGUGGCCUCCAAGGACUCUCCUGCUGAGCUGUCACAGGGAUGCAGGACUUUAGCCAACGUGUCAAAGGCUCUAAGGAUGGAAAACACAAUAAAAGAUAACAUUUUUAAUUCUCAUAA